UACGUAGGCGGAAAAUUAAGUCAGUAGUGAAAUCCUGCAGCUUAACUGUAGAACUGUUAUUGAUACUGGUUUUCUUGAAUAUAGUUGAGGUAGGCGGAAUGUGUAAUGUAGCGGUGAAAUGCUUAGAUAUUACACAGAACAUCGAUUGCGAAGGCAGCUUACUAAGCUAUGAUUGACGCUGAGGUACGAAAGCGUGGGGAGCGAACAGGAUUAGAUACCCCGGUAGUCC
This 229-nucleotide ribosomal RNA is filed under the name uncultured bacterium. Its description in RNAcentral is "partial 16S ribosomal RNA". It matches the Rfam family "Bacterial small subunit ribosomal RNA", at positions 568 to 796 of the family's 1533-position model. The record is from RNAcentral.